AGCAGCCGCGGUAAUUCCAGCUCCAAUAGCGUAUAUUAAAGUUGUUGCAGUUAAAAAGCUCGUAGUUGAAUUUCGGGGUCAGUAGAUUGGUCAUGCCACUGGUAUGUACUGGUCUCACUGAUUCCUCCUUCCUGAUGAGCCGUAAUGCCAUUAAUUUGGUGUUGCGAGGAAUCUGGACUGUUACUUUAGAAAAAAUUAGAGUGUUUAAAGCAGGCUAACGCUUGAAUACAUUAGCAUGGAAUAAUGAAAUAGGACGUUCGAUCUUAUUUUGUUGGUUUCUAAGAUUGACGUAAUGAUUAAUAGGGAUAGUUGGGGGCAUUAGUAUUCAAUUGUCAGAGGUGAAAUUCUUGGAUUUAUUGAAGACUAACUACUGCGAAAGCAUUUGCCAAGGAUGUUUUCAUUAAUCAAGAACGAAAGUUAGGGGAUCGAAGACGAUCAGAUACCGUCGUAGUCUUAACCAUAAACUAUGCCGACUAGGGAUCGGAUGAUGUUAAUUUUUUAAUGACUCU
Molecule: ribosomal RNA, 509 nt
Filed under: uncultured Glomus
Lineage: Eukaryota; Fungi; Glomeromycota; Glomeromycetes; Glomerales; Glomeraceae
Description: SSU rRNA
Rfam family: Eukaryotic small subunit ribosomal RNA
Source: RNAcentral